GUCUCGAUAGCUCAGUGGUAGAGCGGAAGAUUGCAGUAAAUGUUAUAAUCUUCAGGUCACGUGUUCGAACCACGUUCGGGACU
This is a non-coding RNA of Acephala macrosclerotiorum, 83 nucleotides long. NCBI's taxonomy places the organism in Eukaryota, Fungi, Ascomycota, Leotiomycetes, Helotiales, Mollisiaceae. The record is from the annotation of a GenBank genome assembly.